AUUGAACGCUGGCGGCAGGCCUAACACAUGCAAGUCGAGCGGAGCGGCGGACGGGUGAGUAAUGCCUAGGAAUCUGCCCGGUAGUGGGGGAUAACGUCCGGAAACGGGCGCUAAUACCGCAUACUAUCAGAUGAGCCUAGGUCGGAUUAGCGAGUUGGUGGGGUAAAGGCCUACCAAGGCGACGAUCCGUAACUGGUCUGAGAGGAUGAUCAGUCACACUGGAACUGAAACACGGUCCAGAAUCCUACGGGAGGCAUCAGUGGGGAAUAUUUGACGAUGGGGGAAAGCCUGAUCCAGCCAUGCCGCGUGUGUGAAGAAGGUCUUCGGAUUGUAAAGCUCUUUAAUUUGGAAAGCGUUACCAACAGAAUAAGCACCGGCUAACUUCGUGCCAGCCGCCGCGGUAAUAC
Molecule: ribosomal RNA, 407 nt
Filed under: uncultured bacterium
Lineage: Bacteria
Description: partial 16S ribosomal RNA
Rfam family: Bacterial small subunit ribosomal RNA
Source: RNAcentral